RNAcentral lists this long non-coding RNA (943 nucleotides) under Sus scrofa (pig). Its description in RNAcentral is "lncRNA (ENSSSCG00070020496.1)". Lineage: Eukaryota; Metazoa; Chordata; Mammalia; Artiodactyla; Suidae. The record is from RNAcentral.
UUCUACCCUCUUGCUGAUGAGGAUCUCCAGUGGCUUCUGGAUUGCAGGCUGACCAAUGAGGGGCCACUCAUCUCUACCCACCUGUCUGUGGGCCUUUCCCAGUUCGAGGCCUAUAGUGAAGGGAACUCUUGCUGGCCUCCCGCUUGGAUGAGGUGGGAAAGAGCAAGGCCUUGGCAGUCUCCCACCAGCACGACAGGAAUGACAUGGGACAGCUGGUGAGGCCAAGACUCCAUAUGGCUGGGAUGGCAGAUGCCAGGUAACUCCAGGAGUUACCUGGAGGUGAGCACAUUGGAACAGGACCCUGUGGGAUGAUCUUCAAGUUGGAUUUGUCUUGAAGGUCUACCGAGAGGAUGGAGGCCAGGGGUGGAGGGCUCUGGGUCAGAGGAGCCAGGGAAGCUGAUGGGGACAUGGUGGGAACAGCCUCUUCUGCAGGCUCCCUGCAUGGCUGCUGGGCUCCAGCAGGCACUGCCUGGCACACCUCACCAAGGGGAUCUGGACAUGAAUGAGGAUGAAAGUUGCCCUUGUCAGGGAAUCUCUGCAGGUGGCUGCAGGAGACAAGAGACACAAGCUCUAGCCAGGAGCUGACAGGGCCAGGCAGGGGUAGGCACCUGGGGCCAUGGCCCCUCACAGCCCCCAUUCUGACUUCACACUGCAUCUGCUGUCCCUCCGCUUGGGGCUGGAGCUGAACCCUGCUGCAAUGGCUCCCCCUCCCAGGCCAGCCCCAGCCUUCCUGCAGCCCUGGGGUCCCACUCUGUGCCCUGGAAGGAAGGAGAACCCAGGAGAGAUUCUUUACCUUUGCAGAUAUACAAUCAGGCCCCAAACCUGUACCAGCUGUCGCAGGCCAUCUCUGCAGGCUGGAAAUCAGGACACUGGGUCACACCCUUUCCCAGGCUCCUCACAGGUUGAUUCCACAAAAGUAUCGGUUCCUGCUUUCCUUUCCUGA